Molecule: long non-coding RNA, 569 nt
Organism: Talpa occidentalis (Iberian mole)
Lineage: Eukaryota; Metazoa; Chordata; Mammalia; Eulipotyphla; Talpidae
Exons: 3
Source: RefSeq, a predicted model, not a curated record
CCCAGGGAGCUCCCUCACCCCUCCACACAAGGACACAGCCAGGGUGCUGCCAAUGAGCCAGGAAGCAGGCUCUUACAGACAAAAGACCUGCAGGUGCCUUGAACUUGGAGUUCCUCAUCUACGGAAAUGUGAGAAAUAAGGCUGGCAAAUAAGCAAACAAACAUCAGACAGAUUGAUAAGAGAAAAAAAGUCAAGAAGUUUAGUGAUAACAUGGAUAUCUCCCGUACAAGUGGAGAGACCAAACAAGACUGAAUAACUCAGCUCAUGGCUUCAAGAACCAUUUUAAAUAGCUUGGCUAAGACAGAAGGACUUUGUGGCAGAGAAAGGAAGAUCAGUAAGGGAGCUUACCACGGAAGGCACAGUAAACAAAGGCCGGUGAUCAAGGGGACACUCAGCUGGGCAGUUUUGUUGUCUUUGGACCAGUAUCCAUUUCUUCCUCCUAACUUUUAGUGCUGACGUCAGAAAGCUGGCUGAACCCAAAGUCCACAGAUGGGUAAAUAGAGGGCACCCCAAAAGUUUUAGUGCCACUUUAAUAUUUGUGGGAGUAUAAAUGCUACAAACUUACAGAA